GGAUGGGUACUGAGGGCGAGGCAGUUGGAUUCAGGAGGUCUCAUUUGUUCAGUCUCUGAACCCCUCUGUCUCUUCUUGGAGCCUGUUC
RNAcentral lists this microRNA precursor (88 nucleotides) under Callithrix jacchus (white-tufted-ear marmoset). RNAcentral's name for it is "microRNA cja-mir-9963 precursor". The record is from miRBase by way of RNAcentral. Lineage: Eukaryota; Metazoa; Chordata; Mammalia; Primates; Cebidae.